UGGCGGACGGGUGAGUAAUGUCCGGGAAACUGCCUGAUGGAGGGGGAUAACUACUGGAAACGGUAGCUAAUACCGCAUAAUGUCUACGGACCAAAGCGGGGGACCUCCGGGCCUCGCGCCAUCAGAUGAACCCAUAUGGGAUUAGCUAGUAGGUAAGGUAACGGCUUACCUAGGCGACGAUCCCUAGCUGGUCUGAGAGGAUGAUCAGCCACACUGGGACUGAGACACGGCCCAG
RNAcentral lists this ribosomal RNA (235 nucleotides) under uncultured bacterium. Its description in RNAcentral is "partial 16S ribosomal RNA". It matches the Rfam family "Bacterial small subunit ribosomal RNA", at positions 96 to 334 of the family's 1533-position model. The record is from RNAcentral.